This 484-nucleotide ribosomal RNA is filed under the name uncultured bacterium. RNAcentral describes it as "partial 16S ribosomal RNA". It matches the Rfam family "Bacterial small subunit ribosomal RNA", at positions 30 to 507 of the family's 1533-position model. The record is from RNAcentral.
AUUGAACGCUGGCGGCAUGCCUAACACAUGCAAGUCGAGCGGAUGAAGGGAGCUUGCUCCUGGAUUCAGCGGCGGACGGGUGAGUAAUGCCUAGGAAUCUGCCUGGUAGUGGGGGAUAACGUCCGGAAACGGGCGCUAAUACCGCAUACGUCCUGAGGGUGAAAGUGGGGGAUCUUCGGACCUCACGCUAUCAGAUGAGCCUAGGUCGGAUUAGCUAGUUGGUGGGGUAAAGGCCUACCAAGGCGACGAUCCGUAACUGGUCUGAGAGGAUGAUCAGUCACACUGGAACUGAGACACGGCCCAGACUCCUACGGGAGGCAGCAGUGGGGAAUAUUGGACAAUGGGCGAAAGCCUGAUCCAGCCAUGCCGCGUGUGCGAAGAAGGUCUUCGGAUUGUAAAGCACUUUAAGUUGGGAGGAAGGGCAGUAAGUUAAUACCUUGCUGUUUUGACGGUACCAAAAGAAUAAGCACCGGCUAACUUCGUG